Amphimedon queenslandica is the source of this 215-nucleotide long non-coding RNA. RefSeq lists it as uncharacterized. The record is from RefSeq and is a predicted model, not a curated record. Lineage: Eukaryota; Metazoa; Porifera; Demospongiae; Haplosclerida; Niphatidae. The transcript is spliced from 4 exons.
UUUUAAUACAGUAUAAUAGGUGAUGCUGGUUUUUGUACCAGUAAGUCAUUACAGCUGCUAGGAUGGAAUGGGUGUGGUCUAUCUUUUAUCAUGUGACAGUAAACAAAAAUCAAUUUCCUUGGUCCAUUAUGCCAGCUAGUCAACUUCAAAGCACAAGCUAAUAGUAGAUGAUUCUAUAUGAUAGCUUACAAUUAUACUGACUAUGUUUUUUGGUA